RNAcentral lists this ribosomal RNA (554 nucleotides) under uncultured bacterium. RNAcentral's name for it is "partial 16S ribosomal RNA". The record is from RNAcentral.
GGAGUUAGCCGGUGCUUCUUCUGUGAGUGAUGUCCUUCCUGCCGGCUAUUAACCCGCAGGCCUUCUUCCUCACUGAAAGUGCUUUACAACCCGAAGGCCUUCUUCACACACGCGGCAUGGCUGGAUCAGGGUUGCCCCCAUUGUCCAAUAUUCCCCACUGCUGCCUCCCGUAGGAGUCUGGGCCGUGUCUCAGUCCCAGUGUGGCUGAUCAUCCUCUCAGACCAGCUACGGAUCGUCGCCUUGGUGAGCCGUUACCUCACCAACCAGCUAAUCCGACAUAGGCUCAUCCGAUAGCGCGAGGCCCGAAGGUCCCCCGCUUUCCCCCGUAGGGCGUAUGCGGUAUUAGCCUGGGUUUCCCCAGGUUAUCCCCCACUACCGGGCAGAUUCCUAUGCAUUACUCACCCGUCCGCCGCUCGCCACCAGGGAGCAAGCUCCCCGUGCUGCCGCUCGACUUGCAUGUGUUAGGUCGUCGCCGCCACGCGUCUACUACUGAGACGACGAACUACAACUACUACGUACUAGAGGCGGGCGGUCGGCGAACGGACGGCGACUAG